UACGUAGGUGGCAAGCGUUGUCCGGAUUUAUUGGGUUUAAAGGGUGCGUAGGCGGUCUGAUAAGUCAGUGGUGAAAUACGGCAGCUUAACUGUCGAGGUGCCAUUGAUACUGUUGGACUUGAGUACUGAUGAGGUAGGCGGAAUGGACGGUGUAGCGGUGAAAUGCUUAGAGAUCGUCCAGAACACCGAUAGCGAAGGCAGCUUACCAAGGAGUAACUGACGCUGAGGCACGAAAGUGUGGGGAUCAAACAGG
This 253-nucleotide ribosomal RNA is filed under the name uncultured bacterium. RNAcentral's name for it is "partial 16S ribosomal RNA". It matches the Rfam family "Bacterial small subunit ribosomal RNA", at positions 524 to 776 of the family's 1533-position model. The record is from RNAcentral.